UUAUGAUUUGGGCAUCACACGUGCUACAAUGGACAAUACAAAGGGUAGCGAAACCGCGAGGUCAAGCAAAUCCCAUAAAGUUGUUCUCAGUUCGGAUUGUAGUCUGCAACUCGACUAUAUGAAGCUGGAAUCGCUAGUAAUCGUAGAUCAGCAUGCUACGGUGAAUACGUUCCCGGGUCUUGUACACACCGCCCGUCACACCACGAGAGUUUGUAACACCCGAAGCCGGUGGAGUAACCAUUUGGAGCUAGCCGUCGAAGGUGGGACAAAUGAUUGGGGUGAAGUCGUAACAAGGUAGCCGUAUCGGAA
This 309-nucleotide ribosomal RNA is filed under the name uncultured bacterium. Its description in RNAcentral is "bacterial SSU rRNA". It matches the Rfam family "Bacterial small subunit ribosomal RNA", at positions 1202 to 1510 of the family's 1533-position model. The record is from RNAcentral.